GAUGAACGCUGGCGGCGUGCCUAAUACAUGCCAGUCGAGCGAACGGACGAGAAGCUUGCUUCUCUGAUGUUAGCGGCGGACGGGUGAGUAACACGUGGAUAACCUACCUAUAAGACUGGGAUAACUUCGGGAAACCGUAGCUAAUACCGGAUAAUAUUUUGAACCGCAUGGUUCAAAAGUGAAAGACGGUCUUGCUGUCACUUAUAGAUGGAUCCGCGCUGCAUUAGCUAGUUGGUAAGGUAACGGCUUACCAAGGCAACGAUGCAUAGCCGACCUGAGAGGGGGAUCGGCCACACUGGAAAGGAACCACGGUCCAAACUCCUAGGGGGGGCAGAAGUAGGGAAUCUUCCGAAAUGGGGGAAAGCCUGACGGAGCAACGCCGGGUGAGUGAAGAAGGUCUUCGGAUCGUAAAACUCUGUUAUUAGGGAAAAAAAUAUGUGUAAGUAACUGGGCACAUCUUGACGGUACCAAAGCAGAAAGCCACGGCUAACUACGU
RNAcentral lists this ribosomal RNA (496 nucleotides) under uncultured bacterium. RNAcentral describes it as "partial 16S ribosomal RNA". It matches the Rfam family "Bacterial small subunit ribosomal RNA", at positions 28 to 506 of the family's 1533-position model. The record is from RNAcentral.